RNAcentral lists this ribosomal RNA (486 nucleotides) under uncultured bacterium. Its description in RNAcentral is "bacterial SSU rRNA". It matches the Rfam family "Bacterial small subunit ribosomal RNA", at positions 30 to 507 of the family's 1533-position model. The record is from RNAcentral.
AUUGAACGCUGGCGGAAUGCUUUACACAUGCAAGUCAAACGGCAGCACGGGAGCUUGCUCCUGGUGGCGAGGGGCGAACGGGUGAGUAAUGUAUCGAAACGUACCCAGUCGGGGGGAAUAACUAUCCAAAAGGAUAGCUAAUACCGCAUACGUCCUGAGGGAAAAAGCGGGGGAUCGCAAAACCUCGCGCGAUUGGAGCGGCCGAUAUCGAAUUACCUAGUUGGUGGGGUAAAGGCUCACCAAGGCAACAAUCCGUAGCGGGUCUGAAAGGACAACCCGCCACACUGGAACUGAAACACGGUCCAAACUCCUACGGGAGGCAGCAGUGGGGAAUUUUGGACAAUGGGGGCAACCCUGAUCCACCCAUUCCGCGUGAGUGAAAAAGGCCUUCGGGUUGUAAAGCUCUUUCAGCAGGAACAAAACGGUCGGUUUUAAUAAAGUCGGCUAAUGACGGUACCUGCAAAAAAAGCACCGGCUAACUACGUG